AGAUAUAAGGCUUUUGAUUGGCUAUUGCACUGAGGAAGUUAUCUUUUUGAAAACAACAACUUUUGAAAAAUAAGCUGGUGUCAGCAAUUGAAUAUUGAGCUAAAUUUAAUUCAGCAACAUUAAUAUAAUGAAGUGAAAGACUUAUAAUGGUAGUGUAAAAUGUCUUGAAAUUCUGUCAGCAUGAAGUAUUGUGUGAUGAAAACAAUGUGUUUUUUACUGCAAUGUGGAAAUCAAUAAUAAGAUUGUUGGAAAGGAGGUUGAACUGCCUGUUGUUGUUUUUGGAAUACUGAAGAACAGUUUUAACAGGUUAAACUCUUGCCACAAGGCAAAAUUGACAUCAAUGGGAAGAUCCUUUGGAAAGAAUGUGCAUCAUCGCCUGCCUGAUGUAUGGACUUUUAAACCUGGUUUUUACCCUGCACAAGCUGGCAAACUUGAGGGGAACAACAGUGGGAAAACCUCGCCCUGUCCUUGACCAAGAAAGCUCGAUUUGUUGAGAGAUCAACUGGCAUAAGAGAUGCUCAAGAGGAGAAGGACACAAGCAGCAUCAAUGGUACAACUACGUGUCGCUCCAGGGCCCGCUUUCCAGGUCUCUACCAGCUGCUUUCCAGGUCCCUCCACCCGCCAAGAUCAG
Long non-coding RNA from Dreissena polymorpha, 631 nucleotides. RefSeq lists it as uncharacterized. The transcript has 3 exons. The record is from RefSeq and is a predicted model, not a curated record. NCBI's taxonomy places the organism in Eukaryota, Metazoa, Mollusca, Bivalvia, Myida, Dreissenidae.